AUGGCGACGCCGAUGCUGCGAUCUGCCGUUGCUGGCCUCGCGCUCGAGCGAUCGGCAAGCCUGAGGCUUCCGGCUCGCCCUGCGUCGGCCGCAUCCUUCAGCAGCAACGCCGCCGCCGGCCGGUUCGAGAAGCGUCAGGUCGAUGAGAAGAACGACGAGUCAGAUGCAGCACGGCGACGACGCAAACAAGAAAGACAUGGCAUCUCUCGAGGCCACGCUGGUGAUUCUGGUGAUUCUUCUUGGAUGAUGAUGAUGUUGGACGACGACAAGCCUCCUUCCACCGGACCACACUCUACUACGGACUCCUCCUCCACCUCCCGUGCGUCUGCGACGGCGGAGUCGGACGUGUCCUCGCCGUCGUCGGGGGGCUUCUGGGGCGGGGAAAGCUCCUGGUCGUGGGGCUCGGGAGGAGGGGACUCGGGCUUCGGAGGAGGGGACUGCUCGGGAGACUAG
Molecule: ribosomal RNA, 453 nt
Filed under: Triticum aestivum (bread wheat)
Lineage: Eukaryota; Viridiplantae; Streptophyta; Magnoliopsida; Poales; Poaceae
Description: partial small subunit ribosomal RNA
Source: RNAcentral